Small nuclear RNA from Molossus molossus (Pallas's mastiff bat), 161 nucleotides. RefSeq annotates it as U1 spliceosomal RNA. NCBI's taxonomy places the organism in Eukaryota, Metazoa, Chordata, Mammalia, Chiroptera, Molossidae. The record is from RefSeq and is a predicted model, not a curated record. The transcript has a single exon.
AUAUUUACCUGGCAGAGGAGAUUACACAGUCAGGAAGGUGGUUUUCCCAGGGCAAGGUUUAUCCAUUGCACUCAGGGAAUGCUGACCCCUGCGAUCCCCCCAAAUGUGGGAAAGUCCACUGCACAAUCUGUGGUGGUGGGAGGCUGCGUUCACAGUGUGCG